AGUGUAUGAUGACGUCAAGUUGUCACGUGAUUAUUUUUGCAUAACCCUCGCUUCUCUUUUCCACCGUGCACUCUCGUCCACUGCAGCGCGCCGACGGACGUCCACGCGUUCCAAUCGAGGGAAACGUCCGAAAAGCUGAAAAAGUUUGAGGAUUUAGAGGAGGCCGAGGCUUUUCACUCCCAACGUCAGGAGUGAGGAAGUGGGAAUUCCGUGUCUAACGGCCUCCCUGAUAAAGGCGCAGGUAUGGCAGCUGGUACGUGGUGAGUGGAUAAGGCUUGGAACACAGACCUGAACACGCUGUGCUUCGUUGUUAUAAUUCGUAGUCCAAAUGAACCGCUAUUUUGAGGGAUUUCCCAUUUGUAAAGCCUCAGCAUAUUGCUUAGGCCUGUUUAAUAUAUAUAUAUUUUUUAUUUUUUGUUUCUCAACACUGAGAAAGAGCUUUUGAUGGCAAAAUAAUCACUUUUUUAUAGUUAUACAACUAAGAACCACACCGUGAGUCAUGGCUCAGUGGGUUUUUUACAUGACGUUUUUCAUUCACUCCAUGAACUGCAUCAUCUUUUAUCACAAUUACAACUCACACAUUCCACUAAUUACACAUACGCUCUUUACACCAUACAUACACAUACUCUGUUCGAUUGUGAGGUGCCUAAACUUGUUCGACUUCUAUAGAGCUGGUAUUUCUCUCCCUCAUAUUUGACUUGAAAAGCAGACAUUCACUGCCCAAUCUUUAUCAUCUACUCAAAAGAUGUGCCGAUCUCCAAUGCAAAGUGAUGCAACGGCAUCAUCGACAGGGAUCUGUUAGUCAAUACAGUGGUUUACAAAACCUGAAUUUCACAAACCCGCCGGGCGAGACCCUCUUUGGCGCCUACCCGUUGAAAAACAUACUUGACGAAUAUAUACAUCGAUGGCAGUAAACGGUUGGAUUCCAUUUGACGAAUAGGAACGUCGAUGGCAGUGAACGAGUUAAUAACCAAUUCUAUCAUGAGUUUACCCAGAAAAAAGUCUAUGCAGUCCAUUUCCAGAAAGACACAGGAAGUCUGCCAUUUUGCUUUGAAGCAGCCAUUUUAAUUUUUGGAGUAUUUGAAAUACUUCCAUGAAAAUUCAGCCCCUAAAGCCAGUUUAACAUAGCUACUAUGGUAAGCAUGUCUAUCAUGAGUAGACCCACAAAGGUCUCAGGAAUACAUGCCUGAAAACAUACAGGAAGUCUGCCAUUUUGGUUUGAAGCAGCCAUUUUUGGGUUAUUUUGGACAUUUCCAUGGGUCUUCCGAAGAAAACUCAGCCCUCGACCAGUUUCAUUUGGUAACAUGAAACUUAAUGAACAUGUUUAUUAAGAGUAGACCCACAAAAAAGUCUCAAGAACCUAUGCCUCAAAAGACACAGGAAGUCUGCCAUUUUAGUUUGAUGGGGGUGAUUUUGCACAUUUCCCGAUUAUUAUUUUUUGCAUAGCUGAGCAAGGCUAUUUUGAGUUGUCAUCCUUGCGUAUGGGUGAAUUUUGAUGACGCGCCCUGAAGCAUGAAACUCUAAAAACUUAGCUCACACUGUUCAAGCGGAAUCCCACCCAUAUAAGUUCUAAUGUUUUCAUCCAAUAACGCAAUUCCUCACUGGCUGUUUGAAUUCCAAUUGUUUUACACUGUGCAGGUGAACCGCAGCCUGUGCUAACCGCCUUGUAAGUUUACGCAACAAUUUCACAUAUUGACUGUCAACAAAGCAAUGCUUUUGUAAAAAGCAACAGCAUGUUCCUAUGCUGCCUCAUAAAUAAUAAUAAAAUAGUGUGGUGUGAAACAACGGCA
This is a long non-coding RNA of Phyllopteryx taeniolatus (common seadragon), 1790 nucleotides long. RefSeq lists it as uncharacterized. The record is from RefSeq and is a predicted model, not a curated record. The transcript has 2 exons. Lineage: Eukaryota; Metazoa; Chordata; Actinopteri; Syngnathiformes; Syngnathidae.